AGAGUUUGAUCCUGGCUCAGAUGAACGCUAGCGCAGGCCUAACACAUGCAAGUCGAGGGGUAACAGGGAGCUUGCUCCGCUGACGACCGGCGCACGGGUGCGCACCGCGUAUGGAACCUACCUUGUACAGGGGAAUAGCCCAGGGAAACUUGGAUUAAUGCCCGUGGUACCAUGACCCGGCAUCGGGAUAUGGUUAAGCCUUCGGGCGGUACAAGGAUGGCCAUGCGUCCCAUUAGUUUGUUGGUAAGGUAACGGCUUACCAAGACUACGAUGGGUAGGGGCCCUGAGAGGGGGAUCCCCCACACUGGUACUGAGACACGGACCAGACUCCUACGGGAGGCAGCAGUGAGGAAUAUUGGACAAUGGAGGAGACUCUGAUCCAGCCAUGCCGCGUGCAGGAAGAAUGCCCUAUGGGUAGUAAACUGCUUUUAUACGGGAAGAAAAGAGCUACGUGUAGCUUACUGACGGUACCGUAAGAAUAAGGACCGGCUAACUCCGUGCCAGCAGCCGCGGUAAUACGGAGGGUCCGAGCGUUAUCCGGAAUUAUUGGGUUUAAAGGGUCCGUAGGCGGGCCGAUAAGUCAGGGGUGAAAGUCUGCCGCUCAACGGUAGAACUGCCUUUGAUACUGUCGGUCUUGAGUUAUAGUGAAGUUGCCGGAAUAUGUAGUGUAGCGGUGAAAUGCAUAGAUAUUACAUAGAACACCGAUUGCGAAGGCAGGUGACUAACUAUAUACUGACGCUGAUGGACGAAAGCGUGGGGAGCGAACAGGAUUAGAUACCCUGGUAGUCCACGCCGUAAACGAUGGAUACUAGCUGUCCGGAACCUUGAGUUCUGGGCGGCCAAGCGAAAGUGAUAAGUAUCCCACCUGGGAGUACGUUCGCAAGAAUGAAACUCAAAGGAAUUGACGGGGGCCCGCACAAGCGGUGGAGCAUGUGGUUUAAUUCGAUGAUACGCGAGGAACCUUACCAGGGCUUAAAUGCAUAUUGACAGGUCUAGAGAUAGAUUUUCCUUCGGGCAAUUUGCAAGGUGCUGCAUGGUUGUCGUCAGCUCGUGCCGUGAGGUGUCAGGUUAAGUCCUAUAACGAGCGCAACCCCUACCGUUAGUUGCCAGCAUGUCAUGAUGGGGACUCUAACGGGACUGCCGGUGCAAACCGUGAGGAAGGUGGGGAUGACGUCAAAUCAUCACGGCCCUUACGUCCUGGGCCACACACGUGCUACAAUGGCAGGUACAGAGAGCAGCCAUGUCGCAAGGCAGAGCGAAUCUAUAAAACCUGUCACAGUUCGGAUCGGGGUCUGCAACUCGACCCCGUGAAGCUGGAAUCGCUAGUAAUCGGAUAUCAGCCAUGAUCCGGUGAAUACGUUCCCGGCCUUGUACACACCGCCCGUCAAGCCAUGGAAGCCGGGAGUGCCUGAAGUCCGUCACCGUAAGGAGCGGCCUAGGGCAAGAUCGGUAACUAGGGCUAAGUCGUAACAAGGUAGCCGUACCGGAAGGUGCGGCUG
This 1499-nucleotide ribosomal RNA is filed under the name Maribacter sp. Hel_I_7. RNAcentral's name for it is "bacterial SSU rRNA". It matches the Rfam family "Bacterial small subunit ribosomal RNA". The record is from RNAcentral. Lineage: Bacteria; Pseudomonadati; Bacteroidota; Flavobacteriia; Flavobacteriales; Flavobacteriaceae.